Molecule: ribosomal RNA, 506 nt
Filed under: uncultured bacterium
Lineage: Bacteria
Description: bacterial SSU rRNA
Rfam family: Bacterial small subunit ribosomal RNA
Source: RNAcentral
GCGUGAGUGAUGAAGGCUCUUGGGUCGUAAAGCUCUGUCAGAGGGGAAGAAACACCUAUCAUAUAAUACAUGGUAGGCUUGACGGUACCCUCAAAGGAAGCACCGGCUAACUCCGUGCCAGCAGCCGCGGUAAUACGGAGGGUGCAAGCGUUGUUCGGAAUUAUUGGGCGUAAAGAGCGUGUAGGCGGCUCGCCAAGUCUGAUGUGAAAGCCCUGGGCUCAACCCAGGAAGUGCAUUGGAAACUGGCGAACUUGAGUACGGGAGAGGAAAGUGGAAUUUCGAGUGUAGGGGUGAAAUCCGUAGAUAUUCGAAGGAACACCAGUGGCGAAGGCGGCUUUCUGGACCGAUACUGACGCUGAGACGCGAAAGCGUGGGGAGCAAACAGGAUUAGAUACCCUGGUAGUCCACGCCGUAAACGAUGGGUACUAGGUGUUGCGGGUAUUGACCCCUGCAGUGCCAAAGCUAACGCAUUAAGUACCCCGCCUGGGGAGUACGGCCGCAAGGCU